CCUACGGGCGGCAGCAGUGAGGAAUAUUGGUCAAUGGGCGUAAGCCUGAACCAGCCAAGUCGCGUGAGGGAUGAAGGUUCUAUGGAUCGUAAACCUCUUUUAUAAGGGAAUAAAGUGCGGGACGUGUCCCGUUUUGUAUGUACCUUAUGAAUAAGGAUCGGCCAAAUCCGGUCCAGCCGCCGGGGUAAUACGGAGGAUCCGAGCGUUAUCCGGAUUUAAUGGGUUUAAAGGGUGCUCAGGAGGCCUUUUAAGUCAGGGGGGAAAGUUUGUGGGCCAAACCCAGAAUUGCCGUUGAAACUGGGGGUCUUGAGUAGGUUUGAGGCAUGCGGAAUGCGUGGUGUAGCGGUGAAAUGCAUAGAUAUCACGCAGAACCCCGAUUGCGAAGGCAGCAUGCCAAGGCAUGACUGACGCUGAUGCACGAAAGCGUGGGUAUCAAACAGGAUUAGAUACCCUGGUAGUC
RNAcentral lists this ribosomal RNA (460 nucleotides) under uncultured bacterium. RNAcentral describes it as "partial 16S ribosomal RNA". It matches the Rfam family "Bacterial small subunit ribosomal RNA", at positions 338 to 795 of the family's 1533-position model. The record is from RNAcentral.